This 301-nucleotide ribosomal RNA is filed under the name uncultured bacterium. RNAcentral's name for it is "partial 16S ribosomal RNA". It matches the Rfam family "Bacterial small subunit ribosomal RNA", at positions 509 to 808 of the family's 1533-position model. The record is from RNAcentral.
CAGUAGCCGCGGGAAUACGGAGGGUGCAAGCGUUAAUCGGAAUUACUGGGCGUAAAGCGCACGCAGGCGGUUACUCAAGUCAGAGGUGAAAGCCCGGGGCUCAACCUCGGAACUGCCUUUGAAACUAGGUGACUAGAAUCUUGGAGAGGUCAGUGGAAUUCCGAGUGUUGAGGUGGAAUUCGUAGAUAUUCGGAAGAACACAGUGGCGAAGGCGACUGACUGGACAAGUAUUGACGCUGAGGUGCGAAAGCGUGGGGAGCAUACAGGAUUAGAUACCCCUGUAGUCCCUGUCUCUUAUACA